This is a long non-coding RNA of Bradysia coprophila, 551 nucleotides long. The record is from RefSeq and is a predicted model, not a curated record. Lineage: Eukaryota; Metazoa; Arthropoda; Insecta; Diptera; Sciaridae.
UCCACAUUUUCCCCGUUCAAAGAUCCGCUGGAAUAAGAUCACAGACUUAAUUAAGCAAUUAUUAGCAGUUAUUAGAAACACUAAAUUUUUUGGUGUACCCUGUCCUGCAAACUUUCGACUAAUCAUAAACUCUUUUUGUAAUUCCUAUGUGUUGGUUUAGAAUGUCAAAAAUUGGCCGAUGUUGACUCCUAAAGACAUAUAAUUUGUUAGUUAGUUUGUGUGUCAAAUGAGUGUACUGUAUCUUGUGAAACAUUCGAUGAACCUACAAUAACCGUGAUUUGAACAAGGACAAACAUUCAGUUAAAAUACCGUAUUUCCGAACAAGUUAUAAACAAAAAUUGUCACGCGAAGAAUCAUAAAUUUGCACACAUCGACCGUCAUCAUUUGCGUCACUGUCGCAAUAACCAAGAUCUUAUUUUGAGCUUUUGAAGCAAACUGCGUAAUCCUCAAAUACAUUCAAAAAGUGAAGUAAAAAAAUAUAAAAAUCGAAAACCAACCAAAACCAAUGUGAUAUUUGUUUCGGAAAUAAAAUCUGGGUAACUACACCUUUA